GCUUGCGUAGCUCAAUGGCAGAGCUGCGGUCCCGUAAACCGCUGACGCCGGUUCGACUCCGGCCGUAAGCUCCA
The sequence is a transfer RNA, 74 nucleotides long. It matches the Rfam family "tRNA". Rfam says of the family: Transfer RNA (tRNA) molecules are approximately 80 nucleotides in length. Their secondary structure includes four short double-helical elements and three loops (D, anti-codon, and T loops).